This 468-nucleotide ribosomal RNA is filed under the name uncultured bacterium. RNAcentral describes it as "bacterial SSU rRNA". It matches the Rfam family "Bacterial small subunit ribosomal RNA", at positions 28 to 507 of the family's 1533-position model. The record is from RNAcentral.
GACGAACGCUGGCGGCGUGCCUAACACAUGCAAGUCGAACGGGGUGAAGCCCUUCGGGACUUCACUUAGUGGCGAACGGGUGAGUAACGCGUGAGGAACCUGCCUUUCAGUGGGGGACAACAGUUGGAAACGACUGCUAAUACCGCAUAACACUUCUGAGUGGCAUCACUUAGAAGUCAAAGCUUUAUGUGCUGAAAGAUGGCCUCGCGUCUGAUUAGCUAGUUGGUGGGGUAACGGCCCACCAAGGCGACGAUCAGUAGCCGGUCUGAGAGGAUGAACGGCCACAUUGGGACUGAGAUACGGCCCAGACUCCUACGGGAGGCAGCAGUGGGGAAUAUUGGGCAAUGGGGGAAACCCUGACCCAGCAACGCCGCGUGAAGGAAGAAGGCCCUCGGGUUGUAAACUUCUUUUACCAGGGACGAAGGACGUGACGGUACCUGGAGAAAAAAGCAAACGGCUAACUACGUG